RNAcentral lists this ribosomal RNA (253 nucleotides) under uncultured bacterium. RNAcentral's name for it is "partial 16S ribosomal RNA". It matches the Rfam family "Bacterial small subunit ribosomal RNA", at positions 524 to 776 of the family's 1533-position model. The record is from RNAcentral.
UACAGAGGGUGCGAGCGUUAAUCGGAAUUACUGGGCGUAAAGCGUGCGUAGACGGCUAUCUAAGUCGGGUGUGAAAGCCCCGGGCUCAACCUGGGAAUUGCAUUCGAGACUGCAUAGCUAGGGUGCGGAAGAGGGAAGCGGAAUUUCCGGUGUAGCGGUGAAAUGCGUAGAUAUCGGAAGGAACAUCAGUGGCGAAAGCGGCUUCCUGGUCCAGCACCGACGUUCAGGCACGAAAGCGUGGGGAGCAAACAGG